RNAcentral lists this transfer RNA (59 nucleotides) under Narceus gordanus. RNAcentral describes it as "tRNA-Val". Lineage: Eukaryota; Metazoa; Arthropoda; Diplopoda; Spirobolida; Spirobolidae. The record is from RNAcentral.
AGGUAAAGUUUAAUAACGUUUCAUUUACACUGAAAAAAUUCUUUAUGGAUACUUUGAGG